ACUCAGCCUGUGAAAAACGGACCCACAACCUCUACAAUCCUUAUGUAAGGUAAUCUUGGAGGGAUUCAUUCUCACCGAGACGGUCAUCUAUUAUCCGCACGAGCUCAGCCGUAGCAGUUUCAACCUGAUCAUCAUCAUCUUCCAUUAGUUCAGCAAUAAAUGGUACUGAUUGAGGCAAUGUAGAAAUCCAAUUCUCACCAAGGCGCCCGUAAAGCUGUGUCUGUAUUUGGAUAGCUAAUAAGCGAGCAUUGAUGUUGGAGGAUCGAAGAUAUUGCAACAACUGAGUAUUCAUUGAUCUAAAGUUGUCGCUUGAUGAGGCUACACUAGCCAGUUCGACAAUAGCUUUUACUAGGACCUUGUCAUCAAGCAAAGGAGCAUAUUGUAUUUGUUCAAUUAGAACGGGGCUUAUUUUACCAAAACGUGCGGGCACCAUCCAAAACUCCUC
Non-coding RNA from Schizosaccharomyces pombe (fission yeast), 445 nucleotides. The record is from the annotation of a GenBank genome assembly. Lineage: Eukaryota; Fungi; Ascomycota; Schizosaccharomycetes; Schizosaccharomycetales; Schizosaccharomycetaceae.